GACACUAUGGCCGAGUGGUUAAGGCGACAGACUUGAAUCAUCUGUUGGGCUACGCCCGCGCAGGUUCGAGUCCUGCUGGUGUCG
Molecule: transfer RNA, 84 nt
Filed under: Zygosaccharomyces rouxii
Lineage: Eukaryota; Fungi; Ascomycota; Saccharomycetes; Saccharomycetales; Saccharomycetaceae
Description: tRNA-Ser
Rfam family: tRNA
About the family: Transfer RNA (tRNA) molecules are approximately 80 nucleotides in length. Their secondary structure includes four short double-helical elements and three loops (D, anti-codon, and T loops). Further hydrogen bonds mediate the characteristic L-shaped molecular structure. tRNAs have two regions of fundamental functional importance: the anti-codon, which is responsible for specific mRNA codon recognition, and the 3' end, to which the tRNAs corresponding amino acid is attached (by aminoacyl-tRNA synthetases). tRNAs cope with the degeneracy of the genetic code in two manners: having more than one tRNA (with a specific anti-codon) for a particular amino acid; and 'wobble' base-pairing, i.e. permitting non-standard base-pairing at the 3rd anti-codon position.
Source: RNAcentral